RNAcentral lists this transfer RNA (76 nucleotides) under Gracilibacteraceae bacterium. RNAcentral's name for it is "tRNA-His". It matches the Rfam family "tRNA". Rfam says of the family: Transfer RNA (tRNA) molecules are approximately 80 nucleotides in length. Their secondary structure includes four short double-helical elements and three loops (D, anti-codon, and T loops). Lineage: Bacteria; Bacillati; Bacillota; Clostridia; Eubacteriales; Gracilibacteraceae. The record is from RNAcentral.
GUGGGUGUGGCGAAGCGGUUAACGCACCGGAUUGUGGCUCCGGCACUCGUGGGUUCGAUCCCCAUCAUCCACCCCA